AUGGGGAUAAAGAGAAAACCGCGUUUGCAACACCAAGAGGAGGGUCUAUAUCAAUUUGUGACUAUGCCGUUCGGUCUUUGUAAUGCGGCCGGAACGUUCGAGCGAAUUAUUGAGAAAGCGUUAAGUGGACUACAAUGGCAUAUUGCCGUUUUGUAUCUAGACGACAUUGUAGUUUUUGGAAAAACGUUUGACGAGCAUUUUGAUAAUUUAGAAAAAGUACUCGACAAACUAAUGUUAGCCGGAUUAAAAUUGAAACCUAAAAAAUGCACUUUUCUUCAGAAAGAAAUCACAUUUUUAGGUCACGUGGUAUCAAAAUCCGGGGUGAGAACAGAUCCGGCCAAAUUAGAUGCGGUAAAUAAAAUACCAGCUUCCAACAACAAUUACAGAGGUACGAAGUUUCCUCGGCCUGACCUCGUACUACCGUAAGUUUGUAAGAAGUUAUUCGAAAAUCGCAAAACCUCUGUUUGAUCUCACUAAGAAGGGACAUUGCUGGAAGUGGACAACGGAUUGUGAAUCAGCGUUUCAAGAGCUUAAAAAACGGUUGACUUCAGCACCUAUAUUAGCAUACCCGCAAGUAAAUGGAGCUGAAUUCAUACUGGAUACCGACGCCAGUAAUUUUGCUAUUGGCGCGGUAUUGUCACAAGUACAAGAUGGAACGGAGAGAGUUAUUGCCUACGGAAGUAGAUCGUUAGAUAAACCGGAACGCAAUUAUUGUGUGACCCGGAGAGAAAUGCUAGCUGUAGUAUUUUUUACCCGACAUUUUAAACAUUACUUAUUGGGUAGACGUUUUACUUUGCGUACCGAUCAUGGAUCGCUUACAUGGUUACAAAAUUUCAAAGAACCAGAUGGGCAGAUUCAUCGUUGGAUCCAACAGUUGAGUCAAUUCCACAUGAAGAUUGUCCAUAGACCUGGUGUCCGUCAUGGUAAUGCCGAUGCUUUAUCUCGCAUUAUCACGUCGACAUCCGAUAUUUGCAAACAAUGCAAAAUGCCCUGGGAUUAUGAAUACCAGGGACCUGAAGAAGUAGAAAUAAUUGAGAUGCAGGAAGGAGACGGAGUAAAAUUGAUGAAUAAAGUUUUGGAAGGUCAGUCUAUAGGUGGAGUUACUAAUAAAAGUCCUGAAAGUCCCACAAUGUCAUCAAAUAAUUCUGGAGACAUGGAUGGGCAACUAGAUUGUAGUAUUCCAGGAGAAAUACCUAUUGUAAGGAGGGGGAGAAAGCCCAAUCGGCCCCCGCCAGCCAGACGAAAACCACUCCCAAAAAUAGCAUUGGACAUAACAUCUAUGAGACAGCAACAAGAAGAGGAUGAUAUAAUGGGGGAAAUUUUAAAACUAAAAAUUGAAAAUGCGGAAAAACCUUCAACAACGGAAAUAAGUAGUAAGAGCAAAGAAUUCAAAUUUUGGAUAUCAAGAUGGGAGUUGUUGGAAGUUAAAAAUGAUGUCCUGUGUUUGUAUUGGGUUGAAAAGAACAACUGUGCAAAAUGGCGUGUGUGCGCACCAAAGUCCGCAGUUAGUGGUAUACUUUGGUACUUACAUGACGCUAGAACCUCAGGUCAUUUAGGGAUAAAGAAAACAGUUGAGCGAGCCCAUAUAUGUCCGUUUUAUUGGUGGAGUAUGCAAAGAUCGGUGAAAGAGUAUGUUCAUAACUGUGAAAUAUGCGAAGAGCGGAAAAAUCCAGCGCACAAGAAGAGGCACGCUCUGAAAACACACUUAGUCGGUGCUCCCUUCGAGAGAAUAGCUACGGAUAUCGCUGGCCCGUUUCCAUUGUCUGACAACAAAAACCGUUAUGUGCUCGUAGUAGGGGACUAUUUUACUAAGCUUACAGAAGCAUACCCGAUGCCAGAUAUGCAGGCGGAAACAGUUGCCGACAUUAUUUUUAGAGCAUGGGUUAAAAGAUACGGCUGUCCUAUUGAAUUACACUCCGACCAGGGCAGACAAUACGAAAGUACUCUUUUUCAAAACAUGUGUGAGUUACUUGAAAUAAAGAAAACCAGAACAACUCCAUUGCAUCCUCGUUCUGAUGGGAUGAUAGAACGUAUGAACCGAACGAUUCAGGACAUAUUAUCAAAGUACAUCAAGUCCCACCAGAGAGAUUGGGAUCAACACUUAGAUUUUCUUACCAUGGCCUAUAAUUCAACACCUCAUGAAAGUACAGGUUUAACACCACACCGUUUGGUAUACGGACAGGAAAUGAAAUUCCCCUUGGAUAUUAUUUCUGAAAGAAUUGAGCAAGACGAACCCCAGUCUGAGUUUGCAUCUGAUUACGCCAAUAAAUUAGAAGAAAGGUUGCGGGAGGCACAUGAAAUAGCGAGAGAGCAUUUAAAAGUGUCAUCAGAGCGACAGAAAUUUCAAUACGACGGAAAUGUUAAAGAAAAAAUAUAUUCUGACGGACAGUUAGUGUGGAGAAAUCAAAAACAAAAUACUCCAGGAAAGAAAGCCAAGAUUUGUAGGAAUUGGACCGGGCCGUGGGUGAUUAUAAAAAAAUUAAGCGACGUUUUGUACAGAAUUCAACAUGCUAAAAAUUCGCCCCCUGUUGUGGUUCAUGGAGACAAUUUAAAACCGUAUCGGGGAUCAAAGAAACUUAAAUGGUUUAAACCAGGAGUAAUUAAUGAAAAUGUAACAGUAAGUUUUCCAGAUGUCGAUAAUUUCCUGCAAUCGGAAGAUUUUGAAAAGGACAGUGAAAAUGCGGAAGAAUUUGCCAAUGACCUACCCAAAGAAUUGCCGGAUGAAAGUAUUAUUCCGAACCACCAAAACGAAGAUAAAUGUAUUGAAAAUUUACCAGCUGUUUCGAAAAGUCCGCAAAAGCCCGAAAAAGAAGCCCGAGGGAAUUCCAGAAUUAUUCUGGGCAAAAGCCCGGAGGCCCGGAAAACAAAAGCCCAGUUUCCGCAUCUGAAAUUAAUUAGCAUCUCACCGGAUGUCGCGCCUGCGCAAGAAAAUCAAAACAGUGGGAAAGAUAAACAUUACACCACGAGGAAAGGACGCCAAGUUAAAAUACCAGAAAAGUUUAAGGAUUUUAUUGCAAAUUAUAUAAUGUCAAGUGCAAAACUUUUUGAUUGUGUCGAUUGUGGGAAGGAAUACGUUAGCCCUAGAAACCUAAAGAGACAUAGGAAUCAAAAACAUUCAGAAUAUGUGCAGUGUCGGUGUUGUCCAUAUGAAGACUGCACAAAAAUGUACUGCAGAAUUGAGUACAUGACGUACCAUCUAGAGGCAAGACAUAAACUUUCUAGUGAACAAGCCAAGAUUAAAUCAAAGAGCUGCCCCUUAGUCCGAAAGAGCCGCACGGAAUUCGAAGGAUCGCGACAUGGUUCCGUUUUACAUGCUAUACCAGACUCGCCACCAGACUCGCCACCAGAGGCACAGAUUGAACCUGUUGAACCAGAAAACCAAUACCAGGGUCCAGAUGUUUUGGAUAUAUUAGUAAGAAGUUGUGAAUAUGACAACCUAGAAGACCUAAUAGGUGAGGUGUCUGAAAUUCGAGAUUUUGAUUUUCAACCUGAAGAAAAUAAAUUUAAUUUGGAAGGUUUUUUUGAUGACAAUUGUAAUCCAAGUGAUAUAAACAUUAAUGUGUCAGAUGAUGAGUGUUGCGACAAUAAUAUGAACACACCAACAUACUGUGUUCCAGACAAUAUCCAGGAAAACAACCAUUUUAAUAACAUGUAUGAGAAUAUAUCCUCACCUGAAAAUAUGGAUGAAUAUAUAUGUAACAAUAACACGAAUGAUGACCAGAUGGAGGAUUUAGUGUAUGUAUCCGAUGACAAUGUGUCAGAUUGUGGAAGCCAAAAAUCCACAAGUAGUAAUUCAACAAAUACAUGUACUGAGGAUGAAAUUGUUGAAUCCGUAGAGAUAAUUUCUGUUUCCCUAAUUAAAACAGUCACCGAGGUAGCCGGGGUUAAACAGACAAGAACCGAGCAGAAGUUUUCUUUCACUGGGUGUGCUGAACCGUCAGACAUUGAUUGGAAUGACUUUUUCCGGUAUAUGCAAGACCAAAUACAUGAACAUUCGAUUAGCCAAAAUAGAAGAACAACCGUGCCAAAGCCAGAUGUAGAAGAGCUAUAAUUAAAAAAACACUUCAAAUUUAACUUUUGUAAACUAUUUUCUUUUGAUUUUGUUGUCUUAAAAUUUGUUAGGAAUAUUUGUUAAUAUGCUUUCACGACUGAUACAUGUAUUUCUAUGUUAAGUAGGUGAGUGAGAGUUAGUUGUGCUAAACCUGGUGCGUAUUGUUGAAUUCCUGUCCAUAAUGUGCUUAUAAAUUAAAAGGGUGCUAAAGAACUUAUUGUUCAAGACCAAUCGGUCAAUUCAUGUUUAUAUCAUGGUCAUUACUAUCGAUUCACUUGUUUGAAUUAUUUUUUUUUUAAUCAUGUAUGUUGAUAUUUUUUUUUAUAUAUAUGCAGUCUAGUACAUUUUUGGUAUUAUGACUUUGUUUUAUAGGUACAUGUAUUUACAUGUAUGCCCCAAUUUUUUUUUAACAUGUUUUUGUUAUUAUAAUUAUACUGAACAGUGGAAGUUCAGUUUUUCAAAAGGGGAGGGCUAUGUAAUGAAAAUUGAUAGGGUAUGUAAACUUGGUGUUUUAGGACCCUCAUAUUCAGGGCCGACCAUCUAUGACUUAGUAUUACAUGGUGCUUUAUGGUCCUAAAUUAUGGAGCCUGUAAGCCCUAAUUAUACACGGUACACGGUAGCCCUAAUAUGUAUGGAGUCCAUAAGCCCUGGUGCAUAUAAGCCUGAUUGCCCAUAAGCCCGGUUGCCCAUAAGCCCAGAAACUCUGGUGCCCAUAAGCCC
RNAcentral lists this small RNA (4771 nucleotides) under Mytilus galloprovincialis (Mediterranean mussel). Lineage: Eukaryota; Metazoa; Mollusca; Bivalvia; Mytilida; Mytilidae. The record is from RNAcentral.